RNAcentral lists this ribosomal RNA (1528 nucleotides) under Klebsiella aerogenes. RNAcentral's name for it is "bacterial SSU rRNA". It matches the Rfam family "Bacterial small subunit ribosomal RNA". RNAcentral also lists the same sequence under 23 other names. The record is from RNAcentral. Lineage: Bacteria; Pseudomonadati; Pseudomonadota; Gammaproteobacteria; Enterobacterales; Enterobacteriaceae.
AGAGUUUGAUCAUGGCUCAGAUUGAACGCUGGCGGCAGGCCUAACACAUGCAAGUCGAGCGGUAGCACAGAGAGCUUGCUCUCGGGUGACGAGCGGCGGACGGGUGAGUAAUGUCUGGGAAACUGCCUGAUGGAGGGGGAUAACUACUGGAAACGGUAGCUAAUACCGCAUAACGUCGCAAGACCAAAGUGGGGGACCUUCGGGCCUCAUGCCAUCAGAUGUGCCCAGAUGGGAUUAGCUAGUAGGUGGGGUAACGGCUCACCUAGGCGACGAUCCCUAGCUGGUCUGAGAGGAUGACCAGCCACACUGGAACUGAGACACGGUCCAGACUCCUACGGGAGGCAGCAGUGGGGAAUAUUGCACAAUGGGCGCAAGCCUGAUGCAGCCAUGCCGCGUGUGUGAAGAAGGCCUUCGGGUUGUAAAGCACUUUCAGCGGGGAGGAAGGCGUUAAGGUUAAUAACCUUGGCGAUUGACGUUACCCGCAGAAGAAGCACCGGCUAACUCCGUGCCAGCAGCCGCGGUAAUACGGAGGGUGCAAGCGUUAAUCGGAAUUACUGGGCGUAAAGCGCACGCAGGCGGUCUGUCAAGUCGGAUGUGAAAUCCCCGGGCUCAACCUGGGAACUGCAUUCGAAACUGGCAGGCUAGAGUCUUGUAGAGGGGGGUAGAAUUCCAGGUGUAGCGGUGAAAUGCGUAGAGAUCUGGAGGAAUACCGGUGGCGAAGGCGGCCCCCUGGACAAAGACUGACGCUCAGGUGCGAAAGCGUGGGGAGCAAACAGGAUUAGAUACCCUGGUAGUCCACGCCGUAAACGAUGUCGAUUUGGAGGUUGUGCCCUUGAGGCGUGGCUUCCGGAGCUAACGCGUUAAAUCGACCGCCUGGGGAGUACGGCCGCAAGGUUAAAACUCAAAUGAAUUGACGGGGGCCCGCACAAGCGGUGGAGCAUGUGGUUUAAUUCGAUGCAACGCGAAGAACCUUACCUGGUCUUGACAUCCACAGAACUUAGCAGAGAUGCUUUGGUGCCUUCGGGAACUGUGAGACAGGUGCUGCAUGGCUGUCGUCAGCUCGUGUUGUGAAAUGUUGGGUUAAGUCCCGCAACGAGCGCAACCCUUAUCCUUUGUUGCCAGCGGUCCGGCCGGGAACUCAAAGGAGACUGCCAGUGAUAAACUGGAGGAAGGUGGGGAUGACGUCAAGUCAUCAUGGCCCUUACGACCAGGGCUACACACGUGCUACAAUGGCAUAUACAAAGAGAAGCGACCUCGCGAGAGCAAGCGGACCUCAUAAAGUAUGUCGUAGUCCGGAUUGGAGUCUGCAACUCGACUCCAUGAAGUCGGAAUCGCUAGUAAUCGUAGAUCAGAAUGCUACGGUGAAUACGUUCCCGGGCCUUGUACACACCGCCCGUCACACCAUGGGAGUGGGUUGCAAAAGAAGUAGGUAGCUUAACCUUCGGGAGGGCGCUUACCACUUUGUGAUUCAUGACUGGGGUGAAGUCGUAACAAGGUAACCGUAGGGGAACCUGCGGUUGGAUCACCU